Molecule: non-coding RNA, 69 nt
Organism: Rattus norvegicus (Norway rat)
Lineage: Eukaryota; Metazoa; Chordata; Mammalia; Rodentia; Muridae
Source: Rfam
GGGGAUUUAGCUCAGUGGUAGAGCGCGUACCUAGGAAGCGCAAGGCCCUGGGUUCGGUCCCCAGCUCCG